UACGUAGGUGGCAAGCGUUGUCCGGAUUUAUUGGGUUUAAAGGGUGCGUAGGCGGCUAACUAAGUCAGUGGUGAAAUAUCUCAGCUUAACUGAGAGGGUGCCAUUGAUACUGGAUAGCUUGAGUACAGAUGAGGUAGGCGGAAUUGACGGUGUAGCGGUGAAAUGCAUAGAUAUCGUCAAGAACACCGAUAGCGAAGGCAGCUUACCAAGUUGUAACUGACGCUGAGGCACGAAAGUGUGGGGAUCAAACAGG
This 253-nucleotide ribosomal RNA is filed under the name uncultured bacterium. RNAcentral's name for it is "partial 16S ribosomal RNA". It matches the Rfam family "Bacterial small subunit ribosomal RNA", at positions 524 to 776 of the family's 1533-position model. The record is from RNAcentral.